RNAcentral lists this ribosomal RNA (481 nucleotides) under uncultured bacterium. RNAcentral's name for it is "partial 16S ribosomal RNA". It matches the Rfam family "Bacterial small subunit ribosomal RNA", at positions 28 to 507 of the family's 1533-position model. The record is from RNAcentral.
GAUGAACGCUGGCGGCGUGCUUAACACAUGCAAGUCGAACGAAGCACUUUAUUUGAUUUCCUUCGGGACUGAUUAUUUUGUGACUGAGUGGCGGACGGGUGAGUAACGCGUGGGUAACCUGCCUUGUACAGGGGGAUAACAGUUGGAAACGGCUGCUAAUACCGCAUAAGCGCACGGCAUCGCAUGAUGCAGUGUGAAAAACUCCGGGGGUAUAAGAUGGACCCGCGUUGGAUUAGCUAGUUGGUGAGGUAACGGCCUACCAAGGCGACGAUCCAUAGCCGACCUGAGAGGGUGACCGGACACAUUGGGACUGAGACACGGCCCAAACUCCUACGGGAGGCAGCAGUGGGGAAUAUUGCACAAUGGGCGAAAGCCUGAUGCAGCGACGCCGCGUGAGCGAAGAAGUAUUUCGGUAUGUAAAGCUCUAUCAGCAGGGAAGAUAAUGACGGUACCUGACUAAGAAGCACCGGCUAAAUACGUG